UUUUUUUUUUUUUUUUUUUUUUUUUUAAGAUUUUAUUUAUUUAUUCAUGAGAGACACAGAGAGAGAGGCAGAGACACGGGCAGAGGGAGAAGCAGCAUCCUCGCAAGGAGCCCAAUGCCGGACUUGAUCCCGCCACCAGGAUGACACCCUGAGCCACCCAGGCAUCCUAGAACAUCAAUUCCUAAAAACAAGGCAUAAUAGUUGUGUCUAUAUGUGUAUACAAUGUACAUAAUUUCUCUAGUCAGUCUGGAAAACACAGUAACCAUUGUCUUGGCCAUGUGUCAUUCCUAACUAAAGAUCUUUUGCUUGGUGAGAUUCUCCUCCAGAGCAAGCAUUUGCUUUUGGUUCCCAGCAUGAAAUGCAGUUUUCACUGGAGGUGGCAAUUAGGAAUCUGCAAGAUGUUUAAAGCAGCACAGCAGUCAACACAAAAGGCCACAGUUGUCUCACAUUAUCUGCUGGACGCCAGGAACAGUUUCUGCCAGCCUGUAGAGGUAUAGAGAAUUUUCUCAUUUCUGCUGCUUUCAGUCUCAUCCAUGGAUUCAAGGAAUCACAGGUGAGCUCAUCUAAUCUCUAUGCCAACAUUGGGUCCUCCUUUUUUUUUUUUUAAGAUUUUAUUUAUUUAUGCAUGAGACACAGAGACAGGCAGAGACAGAGGCAGAGGGAGAAGCAGGUUCCAUGCUGGGAGCCCGAAGUGGGCCUCUAUCCUGGGUCUCCAGGAUCACGCCCUGGGGUGAAGGCGGCGCUAAACCGCUGCGCCACCGGGGCUGCCCUGGAUCCUCCUUUUGUCAGUAAAACCACUACUUGAAAAAGAAUUUGGGGCGCCUAGCUAGCUCAGUCGGUAGAGCAUGCAACCCUUGAUAUCAGGGUCAUGAGUUUGAGCCCCAUGUUGGGUGGAGAGAUUACUUAAAUAAUCUUAAAAAAUAAUAAUAAAAGAAAAAUAACUCAUUAUCCCCAAAGGAAACCUAGUCUAUUGUUGGAUAGUCCUAAUUGUUGGAUAAUGUUGCCUUCUACUGAGCCAAAAUCAGCCUCCUUUUAUGAGAGUAUGGGUCAGGCUCCAGCCUAUUAAGAGUUUCACCCUGAGAUACUGUUUUUGAGCUAUAAGCUGAUUUAGUUUUCAGACAAACACCUUCUGCUCUCCAGCUUUAGAGAUACGAUUCUUUGUUUUGUUUUUAAGAUUUAAAAAUUUUUUAAAGAUUUUAUUUAUUUAUUCAUGAAAGACACACGGAGAGAGAGGCAGAGACACAGGCAGAGGGAGAAGCAGGCUCCCUGCAAGGAGCCCGAUGUGGGACUCGAUCCUGGAUCCUGGGAUCAUGCUCUGAGCCAAAGGCAGACGCUCAACCACUGAGCCACUCAGGCACCCCAAGAUUUAAAUUUUUUUUAAGAUUUAUUUAUUUAUUUAUGAUAGACAUAUAUAUAGAGAGAGGGGCAGAGACAGGAGGAGGGAAUAGAGAAUUUUCUCAUUUCUGCUGCUUUCAGUCUCAUCCAUGGAUUCAAGGAAUCACAGGUGAGCUCAUAUAAUCUCUAUGCCAACAUUGGAUCCUCCUUUUUUUUUUUUUUUUUUUAAAGAUUUUAUUUAUUUAUGCAUGAGACACAGAGACAGGCAGAGACAGAGGCAGAGGGAGAAUCAGGUUCCAUGGCGGGAGCCUGACGUGGGACUUGAUCCCAGGACUCCAGGAUCGCGCCCUGGGCCAAAGGCAGGCGCUAAACCGCUGCGCCACCCAGGGAUCCCCGAUUUAAAUUUUUUAAAAAGUAAUCUCUACACCCAAUGUGGGGUUGGAACUUACAACCCCAAGAUAAAGAGCUGCACACUGUAACUACUGAGCCAGCCAAGUGCCCCUAGAAAUGUAAUUCUAAUUUAGGAUUUCAAUUCUUUUUCUUUUUUGGGGGAGGGUGGAUUUCAAUUCUUUUCUUAACUGGCAGUUUUGUAAAUGUAUGCCUUCACUUGCUGCCUAUUGAUUGCCUCUUCUAUCACCAGACAUUUGGCCAAACUUAGCUUCACAAAAGUCACCAUUUCAGUCAUUUGGAUUGGAUUUUAUUUAUUUUUGUUUUAAGAGAGGGAAGAGCACAUGAGUGUACAAGGUGGGGGAUGGAGGAUGGGCGGGGGUGGGGACGAAAGAGAGAGAGAGAGAGAGAGAGAGAGAGAGAGAAUGAAUCUAAAGCAGGCUCCACACCAGCAGAGUCCAAUGCAGACUUCCAUUUCAUGACCCUGAGAUCAUGACCUGAGCCAAUAUCAAGAGUCAGAUGCUUAACCAACUGAGCCACCCAGGGACCCCUGAAUUUUUAUUUUAAUUUAACCAAAGCCAAUGUUUCCAAAGAUCAUUUACCUGGGCAUAUACUAUUUGUAUUGUGAAAUAUAUUUACUUUUAUAGUUGGGUCUUUAUUUUUUCUUUGCAAAUGAUAUGAAGUGUUCCCAAGUCCCUUCCCCAAUGAUCAGUAAGCAAUUUUGAUAUGUGCCUCUAUAAGAACUCUUGAAAAAAAACAAAAAAAA
This 2488-nucleotide long non-coding RNA is filed under the name Canis lupus familiaris (dog). Its description in RNAcentral is "lncRNA (ENSCAFG00845008281.1)". The record is from RNAcentral. Lineage: Eukaryota; Metazoa; Chordata; Mammalia; Carnivora; Canidae.